GGGGCGGCGCCGACGUUCGGAGAGUCGGGCCUGCCUGUAAAGCAGGUGCCACAGCGCUGAGCGGGUUCGAAUCCCGCCCGCCCCA
RNAcentral lists this transfer RNA (85 nucleotides) under Actinomadura rayongensis. Its description in RNAcentral is "tRNA-Tyr". It matches the Rfam family "tRNA". From Rfam's summary of the family: Transfer RNA (tRNA) molecules are approximately 80 nucleotides in length. Their secondary structure includes four short double-helical elements and three loops (D, anti-codon, and T loops). The record is from RNAcentral. Lineage: Bacteria; Bacillati; Actinomycetota; Actinomycetes; Streptosporangiales; Thermomonosporaceae.